Molecule: ribosomal RNA, 507 nt
Filed under: uncultured bacterium
Lineage: Bacteria
Description: bacterial SSU rRNA
Rfam family: Bacterial small subunit ribosomal RNA
Source: RNAcentral
GAUGAACGCUAGCGACAGGCCUAACACAUGCAAGUCGAGGGGCAUCGGGGUGUAGCAAUACGCUGCCGGCGACCGGCGGAUGGGUGAGUAACGCGUAUGCAACCUGCCUUCAGCAGGGGGAUAGCCCGUUGAAAGACGGAUUAAUACCCCAUAACACAGGGGCUCCGCAUGGAGAUUAUUGUUAAAGGGAUACUUCCUUCGGGGGGUAUUCCGGCUGAAGAUGGGCAUGCGUUCCAUUAGGUAGUUGGUUGAGGUAACGGCUCACCAAGCCUGCGAUGGAUAGGGGAACUGAGAGGUUGGUCCCCCACACUGGUACUGAGACACGGACCAGACUCCUACGGGAGGCAGCAGUGAGGAAUCUUGGUCAAUGGACGGAAGUCUGAACCAGCCAUGUCGCGUGAAGGAGGACGGCCCUAAGGGUUGUAAACUUCUUUGCAGGGGAAUAAAGUAUUCCACGAGAUGGGAUAUUGCAAGUACGCUGCGAAUAAGGAUCGGCUAACUCCGUCG